This 254-nucleotide ribosomal RNA is filed under the name uncultured bacterium. Its description in RNAcentral is "partial 16S ribosomal RNA". It matches the Rfam family "Bacterial small subunit ribosomal RNA", at positions 524 to 776 of the family's 1533-position model. The record is from RNAcentral.
UACGUAGGGUGCAAGCGUUAAUCGGAAUUACUGGGCGUAAAGCGUGCGCAGGCGGUUGUGCAAGACCGAUGUGAAAUCCCCGGGCUUAACCUGGGAAUGGCAUUGGCGACUGCACGGUUAGAGUGUGUCAGAGGGGGGUAGAAUUCCACGGUGUAGCAGUGAAAUGCGUAGAGAUGUGGAGGAAUACCGAUGGCGAAGGCAGCCCCCUGGGAUAACACUGACGCUCAUGCACGAAAGCGUGGGGAGCAAACAGG